AUUGUCUGGUAGUUAUGGCGAGAAGGUCACACCCGUUCCCAUCCCGAACACGGUAGUUAAGCUUCUCUGCGCCAAUGGUAGUUGGGGGCUUCCCCCUGCGAGAGUAGGUCGCUGCCGGGCAAU
This 123-nucleotide ribosomal RNA is filed under the name Listeria monocytogenes. RNAcentral also lists the same sequence under 1 other name. The record is from RNAcentral. Lineage: Bacteria; Bacillati; Bacillota; Bacilli; Caryophanales; Listeriaceae.